GAUGAACGCUGGCGGCGUGCCUAAUACAUGCAAGUCGAGCGAACAGACGAGGAGCUUGUUCCUCUGACGUUAGCGGCGGACGGGUGAGUAACACGUGGAUAACCUACCUAUAAGACUGGGAUAACUUCGGGAAACCGGAGCUAAUACCGGAUAACAUGUUGAACCGCAUGGUUCAACAGUGAAAGACGGUCUUGCUGUCACUUAUAGAUGGAUCCGCGCCGCAUUAGCUAGUUGGUAAGGUAACGGCUUACCAAGGCAACGAUGCGUAGCCGACCUGAGAGGAUGAUCGGCCACACUGGAACUGAGACACGGUCCAGACUCCUACGGGAGGCAGCAGUAGGGAAUCUUCCGCAAUGGGCGAAAGCCUGACGGAGCAACGCCGCGUGAGUGAAGAAGGUCUUCGGAUCGUAAAACCCUGUUAUUAGGGAAGAACAAAUGUGUAAGUAACUAUGCACGUCUUGACGGUACCUAAUCAGAAAGCCACGGCUAACUACGUG
This 497-nucleotide ribosomal RNA is filed under the name uncultured bacterium. RNAcentral describes it as "partial 16S ribosomal RNA". It matches the Rfam family "Bacterial small subunit ribosomal RNA", at positions 28 to 507 of the family's 1533-position model. The record is from RNAcentral.